Molecule: ribosomal RNA, 253 nt
Filed under: uncultured bacterium
Lineage: Bacteria
Description: partial 16S ribosomal RNA
Rfam family: Bacterial small subunit ribosomal RNA
Source: RNAcentral
UACGUAGGGUGCGAGCGUUAAUCGGAAUUACUGGGCGUAAAGUAUGCGCAGGCGGCCGAGCAAGUCGAGUGUGAAAGCCCCGGGCUUAACUUGGGAAUUGCGCUCGAAACUACUUGGCUGGAGUGUGGCAGAGGAAGGUGGAAUUCCAGGUGUAGCGGUGAAAUGCGUAGAGAUCUGGAGGAACACCGAUGGCGAAGGCAGCCUUCUGGGCCAACACUGACGCUCAUGCACGAAAGCGUGGGGAGCAAACAGG